RNAcentral lists this long non-coding RNA (254 nucleotides) under Elaeis guineensis (African oil palm). RNAcentral describes it as "long non-coding RNA (EGUI_LNC030935)". The record is from RNAcentral. Lineage: Eukaryota; Viridiplantae; Streptophyta; Magnoliopsida; Arecales; Arecaceae.
GGCAUAUCGAACGACUCCUCAUAUACCAAUAAGAGAAUCACCAUUCAAUUUAGCCUAUAGAAUAGAAGCAAUGAUCUCACUUGAGAUCGGAUUAUCUUCAACAAGGGUUGAGCAAUAUAGUGAGCCGAACAAUUCUGAAUAUCGGAGAGCCGAUCUAGAUCUACUUCCAGAAGUUCGACAGGAAGCUCAAAUUUGGAUGGCAGCAUAUCGGCAAAGGAUAGUCCGGUAUUACAAUGCAAAAGUUAAACUGAAGG